Molecule: long non-coding RNA, 578 nt
Organism: Macrobrachium nipponense
Lineage: Eukaryota; Metazoa; Arthropoda; Malacostraca; Decapoda; Palaemonidae
Exons: 3
Source: RefSeq, a predicted model, not a curated record
GCAAAAAAAUUUUCAUUCUUACAGAUGGCACGUGUACCCUGUAUGGUCUAACGAAUGGAACUGCAACACAGAAUACUUACUACCACAGCCGUAUAAAUCUUCCACCGGAUAACUCCCUUGAGGAAGUCGCGCGGAGAAAGCCAACAUUUUCAACUCUGCAAUAUGGAAGCCAAUUCGCUAGCUUAGCGGUUGACGGAGACUUAACUGAUACUACAAUGUACCACUCCGGUCUUUUUGUCAAGCCCUGGUGGCAAGUUGACCUCACAGAAGAGAGAGUCAUUUUCCAAGUCCAGAUCUUCCCAAGGCAACAUACAUUUUAUUUUAAAAGGUUCACGUCUAUGGAGGUUCGAGUGGGAAGAGCGUACAAGGAUGAUGGCAAUUUAACAUCUUACUUUCUCCUCUGCUCAUACCUGAAGGUAUACGAAAGAGCGGAAGGCCACAUUCUGUGUUCAAGCCAUACUGGCAUUGUUGGCAGAUACGUCAGUAUACAAAAAGUUACCGCUGAAGCCACUUACAUGCAAUUCAAUGAUGUGAAUGUAUUCGUUCUGAAGAAAUAAUUGAUUUAAGUUAGACCUAUC